This 984-nucleotide long non-coding RNA is filed under the name Sus scrofa (pig). RNAcentral's name for it is "lncRNA (ENSSSCG00070026646.1)". The record is from RNAcentral. Lineage: Eukaryota; Metazoa; Chordata; Mammalia; Artiodactyla; Suidae.
GGCUGGGCUGGGGCAGAGAGUUUCCUGAGGUGGGUCAGGGGACUGGAAACCAUGAGGCCUGAGCCCCGGGGGAGUGGUCACCAGGCAAAGGCCCGACAGGCCCUGGAAAGAGGCGAGGACAGGAGCAGGACGGCCACCGGCCAAGUGGGGCGAGGCACAACAGGCCGUCCUUCCUCCUCUGAGCUCCGGCUUCCCACACUGUGAGAGGCCCAAGGCCCCUCGUGGAGCAAAGCUAUGGGGGGUGAAGGUGGGAGCUGCCGUGAUGGUCCUUGUGCGGCAGGGAAGUUGACUGGGGGGGUGGGAACCCCCGAAGGCAAUGGGCCCUGCCUAGAGUCCUGAGAUGUGAGCGUCCCCAGGCCUGCAGACCAGGUUCUGGGACCUCCGCAGACGGCACAGAGGCUGGGACCUGACCUUGGCCUCUAUGGAGGGGGUCCCGGGGGUCGUGGGUGGAAUCAGAGUGUGUGGGAAGGAAGGUGACUGCGCUGUCCCCCAACCGCCCUGCAGGGGUGAGCUCUGAGACCUUCCUUGAGAAGAUGGUGGCAGGAGAGGUGCCCUCAAUUGCCAUCAGCCUGAUGAAAACGCACAAUAAAAUGGAAUAGAAAAUCCAUUGACAAGAAUCAUCUCCAAGCCCUGGACAGACAGGAGAGCCAGAUGUGGGGACAGAUGUGCUGUGAGGACAUGUGUGACAAUUUGGAUCCUUCGAGGCCCAGCUGCGACCCUACCAGCCCCCACCUGGCCCGUCCGUGAGACUUGGACCAGCACCUGCGGGAGUCCAGGGGUACUUGCGGCAGCAGCUUUAGAGCAAGAGGAGGGAGGCCAAGGAGAGGGCUGUCAGGGGAGUGGCCAUCACGAGAGGACGUUGUCUGCAAACAGGCGGACGAGCAGCCAGAAAAUAGGGGCGGCCGGAGGGAGGGGUCCGCGCGGCGGGGGAGGGUCGCGGGGGGCGAGGGCCGGGGGCGCCCUGCGGGAGGGGCGUCAGCUCCG